Molecule: ribosomal RNA, 465 nt
Filed under: uncultured bacterium
Lineage: Bacteria
Description: partial 16S ribosomal RNA
Rfam family: Bacterial small subunit ribosomal RNA
Source: RNAcentral
CCUACGGGUGGCAGCAGUGGGGAAUCUUCCGCAAUGGGCGAAAGCCUGACGGAGCAACGCCGCGUGAUCGAAUGAAGGCCUUCGGGUUGUAAAGAUCUGUUGACAGGGACGAAUAAGCAAUGCAAAUAGUUUUGUGUAUGACGGUACCUGUUUAGAAAGCUCCGGCUAACUACGUGCCAGCAGCCGCGGUAAUACGGGGGAUGCAAGCGUUAUCCGGAUUUAUUGGGUUUAAAGGGUGCGUAGGCUGUGAGGUAAGUCAGCGGUGAAAUGCCCCCGCUCAACGGGGUGAAGUGCCAUUGAUACUGCCUUGCUGGAAUGCGGAUGCCGUGGGAGGAAUGUGUGGUGUAGCGGUGAAAUGCAUAGAUAUCACACAGAACACCGAUUGCGAAGGCAUCUCACGAAUCCGCGAUUGACGCUGAUGCACGAAAGCGUGGGUAUCAAACAGGAUUAGAUACCCCGGUAGUC